GAUUAACGCUGGCGGCGUGCAUAACACAUGCAAGUCGAACGAUGAAACUUAAAUGAUUUCUUCGGAAUGAACUUAAGUGGAUUAGUGGCGGACGGGUGAGUAACGCGUGAGUAACCUGCCUUACACAAGGGGAUAGCCGUUGGAAACGACGAAUAAUACCCUAUGAAACUAUCACUUCGCAUGAAGCGAUAGUCAAAGUGUUAGCGGUGUAAGAUGGACUUGCGUCUGAUUAGCUAGUUGGUGAGAAAAAAGCCCACCAAGGCAACGAUCAGUAGCCGGCUUGAGAGAGUGUACGGCCACAUUGGGACUGCGACACGGCCCAGACUCCUACGGGAGGCAGCAGUGGGGAAUUUUGCACAAUGGGGGAAACCCUGAUGCAGCGACGCCGCGUGAUUUAGAAGGCCUUCGGGUUGUAAAAAUCUUUUGUAUAGGAAGAAAAUGACAGUACUAUACGAAUAAGGUCCGGCUAAUUACGUG
Molecule: ribosomal RNA, 477 nt
Filed under: uncultured bacterium
Lineage: Bacteria
Description: partial 16S ribosomal RNA
Rfam family: Bacterial small subunit ribosomal RNA
Source: RNAcentral